CAGCCGCCGCGGGAAUACGUAGGUGGCAAGCGUUGUCCGGAAUUAUUGGGCGUAAAGGGCUCGCAGGCGGUUUCUUAAGUCUGAUGUGAAAGCCCCCGGCUCAACCGUGGAGGGUCAUUGGAAACUGGGAAACUUGAGUGCAGAAGAGGAGAGUGGAAUUCCACGUGUAGCGGUGAAAUGCGUAGAGAUGUGGAGGAACACCAGUGGCGAAGGCGACUCUCUGGUCUGUAACUGACGCUGAGGAGCGAAAGCGUGGGGAGCGAACAGGAUUAGAUACCCCCGUAGUCCCUGUCUCUUAUAC
RNAcentral lists this ribosomal RNA (301 nucleotides) under uncultured bacterium. Its description in RNAcentral is "partial 16S ribosomal RNA". It matches the Rfam family "Bacterial small subunit ribosomal RNA", at positions 509 to 807 of the family's 1533-position model. The record is from RNAcentral.